Molecule: ribosomal RNA, 449 nt
Filed under: Micrococcus sp. oral taxon F54
Lineage: Bacteria; Bacillati; Actinomycetota; Actinomycetes; Micrococcales; Micrococcaceae
Description: bacterial SSU rRNA
Rfam family: Bacterial small subunit ribosomal RNA
Source: RNAcentral
GAUGAACGCGGCGGCGUGCUUAACACAUGCAAGUCGAACGAUGAAGCCCAGCUUGCUGGGUGGAUUAGUGGCGAACGGGUGAGUAACACGUGAGUAACCUGCCCUUGACUCUGGGAUAAGCCCGGGAAACUGGGUCUAAUACCGGAUAGGAGCGCCUGUCGCAUGACGGGUGUUGGAAAGAUUUUUCGGUCAUGGAUGGACUCGCGGCCUAUCAGCUUGUUGGUGAGGUAAUGGCUCACCAAGGCGACGACGGGUAGCCGGCCUGAGAGGGUGACCGGCCACACUGGGACUGAGACACGGCCCAGACUCCUACGGGAGGCAGCAGUGGGGAAUAUUGCACAAUGGGCGGAAGCCUGAUGCAGCGACGCCGCGUGAGGGAUGACGGCCUUCGGGUUGUAAACCUCUUUCAGUAGGGAAGAAGCGAAAGUGACGUACCUGCAGAAGAGCCC